This 252-nucleotide ribosomal RNA is filed under the name uncultured prokaryote. RNAcentral describes it as "partial 16S ribosomal RNA". It matches the Rfam family "Bacterial small subunit ribosomal RNA", at positions 524 to 776 of the family's 1533-position model. The record is from RNAcentral.
UACGUAGGGGGCAAGCGUUGUCCGGAUUUAUUGGGCGUAAAGGGCGCGCAGGCGGUCUUUUAAGUCAGAUGUGAAAGCUCACGGCUCAACCGUGGUAAGCAUUUGAAACUGGAAGGCUUGAGUUAAGGAGAGGAAAGUGGAAUUCCUAGUGUAGCGGUGAAAUGCGUAGAUAUUAGGAGGAAUACCAGUGGCGAAGGCGACUUUCUGGACUUAUACUGACGCUGAGGCACGAAAGCGUGGGGAGCAAACAGG